UUGAUCCUUUCCUGACUACUGGAACUGUGGCUGUGGAGAUCUAGUUUCUUUUGAGGGCCUGUAUCAGAUUUGCAUAUCUGAGCUUCAUUCACCUUUGUCUGCAUUCUAGUGUUGAAGUAGGCCUUUUCAAGGACAAAUGUAGCAAGUAACACAGUGACUAAAUUAAGUCUGCAGGAUUUCCUUGUGAUAUGAUAAAUUUUCAACAGAACAAAGCAGAUAUUGAGUAGAAAUGCAUAAGGAAAUCCCAUGAAGGACUGACAGAAAUUAAUUCAGAACUUUUUUCAGCAUAAUUUGGACAAGACAUACUAAAGUCCAAAGUACACAAAUGAGAAGCGAUAAGUAAGAAGUAUAUAACUAGUAAACCAGCUCUCAAUUAAUUUAUAUUUUCUGCUACAUCUUUGUGGUGAAACUCGACUGUGUGUUAAUGGUCCUCAGAAGAUUCUAGACAACACUGAUGCUCUACUUCUUAUUAAGGGUAAAACUCACCCUAUUGAAGAGGACAAGCUUAAGAUCUAUGCACUCACUUAGUACCACUUAUCCCAAUUUUCACUUAACAAGGGCGCUUAUGCAAGACUCCUCCAGAAAGUGCCAAGUUUCUGCCAAGGGAGGCAGUGAGAGCUCCAGGAUCCCUCCACAGCCAAAGCCAAUGUGCGACAAGGGCAAUCCCCUCCAGGAGUUCCAUCUGGUGAGAUCAGGCCAAUUCUAUCUCUAUGCUAGCCUGAGGAUCGUGGAUGAAAGGAGCUGUGACUGAGUGCAAAGGCCUGGAAUGGAGCUGCAAGCCUGCACAGGAACCGAGCUAUUCCUCUGGAAAAGGCUGAACUUCCACGUGUGCAGGUGAGCUCUUGGAGGUCUCAGUGACCACCUGCACAAUUAACUGCUGCAACUACAAGAGUAUUUUUUGACAAGAUGUGUUUGGGUAAUUCUGUAAAAUCAAAGCAUCAGAAGGCAUGGCAAAAAGUCUGUUUUACAAUACCAUGGGAAUAUUUCAUGUGGUUGGGCCAACACAGAGGAAAUAGCAAUUGCAAUGUUAGCAAUGAAUGAUAGCACAGUGCAGCUAAGAAUACAUUCAGCAAACUGAGGUCCUAUUUUAACACUGACAAAAAAAGAGAAAAAAUAUAAAAUGUGUGUCUGUGUGUGUGUAUUUUUUUUCCAAAACAGCUG
Neopsephotus bourkii (Bourke's parrot) is the source of this 1161-nucleotide long non-coding RNA. RefSeq lists it as uncharacterized. The record is from RefSeq and is a predicted model, not a curated record. The transcript is spliced from 3 exons. Lineage: Eukaryota; Metazoa; Chordata; Aves; Psittaciformes; Psittacidae.